Molecule: long non-coding RNA, 535 nt
Filed under: Zonotrichia albicollis (white-throated sparrow)
Lineage: Eukaryota; Metazoa; Chordata; Aves; Passeriformes; Passerellidae
Description: lncRNA (ENSZALG00000017064.1)
Source: RNAcentral
UGGGACACAGCCAGGAUUUGCAGUAUUUUGAAAUGGAUCUGUCAGCAGGAUAGUCCCUGGAGAAUUUUAUUCCUGUGGUGUAAUUUCAGGUUGGUCUCUGCUGUUUUCAAAUCAGCCAGGAAGAGCCCACUGUAUCUCCAGCUGAGAACUCAGAGUGGAGUUUUCAAGCAUCUUUUGCCACCUCUGUGGACUCUGCCCAAAAAGAUUGAUCCCUCAGAAAGUCUGAUGGUUUCGACUUCUAGACAAGUUAGCACUCUUGGAGAACACACUGUAACUUCUGUAUGGAUGAGAUUGACUGGGACUUAUGGAAUGGCAUCAUCUCUCUUAGCUCUAAACUGAGUUGAAUCCAACAUCCCUUUCCUGAAUUGACUAACAAAUCCAGCAGAAGUUUUUGAAGCACUUCUUUGCAAAUCUCAACCACAAAAGAAAAGCAGUCACGUCUACGGGUCCUGAACUGCCUCAAGGAAAAUGGAAACAUCAACAUUUACAGGUGAGGUGAUACAAAAUUUUUUAUAUAGGGAACCCUGCAUUAUUA